AUCCAGGUGGCGUGUCCCAAAUAGGACGAAACAACCGUUCUGGAU
This 45-nucleotide non-coding RNA is filed under the name Schistosoma margrebowiei. Lineage: Eukaryota; Metazoa; Platyhelminthes; Trematoda; Strigeidida; Schistosomatidae. The record is from RNAcentral.